Molecule: long non-coding RNA, 1414 nt
Filed under: Numida meleagris (helmeted guineafowl)
Lineage: Eukaryota; Metazoa; Chordata; Aves; Galliformes; Numididae
Description: lncRNA (ENSNMEG00000006665.1)
Source: RNAcentral
CUGACUUUUAGAAAUCUUUAUACACAUCAUUUAGUGUCAUUUUCAAAUACCUUGAAGGGAUCAUAAAACUUUGCUCAUCUCUGAUCAUUGUAGCACUUAGAAGAGGAAAGGUAUGAACAGCCAUAACCCUGGCACAUUUUUAACUACACUCAGGACCAAAGGGGAUUAUAAGAUGGAAGCUUUGAUAACAAAAACAUAAAGAUGUCAUUGUCAACUAUCUCAAAAUAUACAUGCUUGUUGUAAAUGUCACAUAAGCCUACAGCUAAGGGAUGGAUCACAGUUUCCUGCAUUUUCAAAGUAUUUGUGUUGAUGAAUGCUUUAACUCCUUCAUGACCAAGUUAUUCUUUGUCCCACAACUUGCUUUCACAUUGUGAAAUUUCCGCUCUGCUCUGUACAGAGAAAAGCAAAUGCUUAGGAAGCAUUUAGGGGGUGAAAGGUGUGUAAUGUCAGUGAUCAACUUGCUAGCAAUAGGAUGAGAUCUUUCCUCUGCGUUGAAACAAUGGAAGUAGCAAUAUGUGUCAAACUAAACUGAGUACCAGAGAACUAAGGACUAACUUGUGCCCCAGUAUGGGUCAGCAAAGUAUUUACGCGUAUGAUUAAAACUAAAUGAUGGUGAACAUCUUGUUUCAGCUUGGCACACGCUACAGCACUUUGCUGAAUAAAAGGCACGUGGUACUGUUAAGAGCAUCUACACAGGGCUGAUUUUGAUCUGUUAGGCCCUGACAGGGUGACCACUCGUGUUUGCCACCAGAGUGGGAUUUGUUGCUGUCUUUGAUAACAGGGGCAGGCCCUUUCGGUGAGCUGAAGGUCUCAGAGGUGUAAAUGUGUGGGGAUUGCCAUCCCUGCUACAUGCAGUCUCUCCCCAUGUGACACUGAGGACAUGCUGCUUUUUGUUCCACAUGACUAGGAAUUCCUUGGCAGUAUGAUCUUGCCAUUGUGUGGAUGUCUUUCCCUCUUCCUGAGGCAGCGCUUGCCACCAUCAAGGUGCUUGGUGAUAUGCAGGUACCAGCCUUGCUGAGGGUACUGCUUGAGUCCGUGUUUAAUUUCAGCCUAAGAAGGAGUGACCCGGAGUUCACAUUGCUAUUGAAAUGUCUACAAUCAAGGCUGUUGUCAUUGAUGUUUCUGCACUGAGAAACAGUUUAAAUGUGAGAACAGCGUUCAUGACUCACCACAAACCAGAUCCAUAUGGGCAUUUAAGUGCUUAAAUCCUACUGGGUGAGGGGACUGGCUUGCUGUGAUUACCAGAGCUUGCACUCAUUCUUCCCUUCACUUCAAAACCCAGAUUUCCAGAAAUACACAUGAAUCAAGUGCAUCAUCUUUGUCUCUGACUAGAUGGUCUGAUAACAUUGCAGCAAAGUACAGAGACACUUUUUUCUUGCAUAUACAAAUGCAGAUGUGUGCACAUUGGCAUGGG